RNAcentral lists this long non-coding RNA (694 nucleotides) under Phasianus colchicus (ring-necked pheasant). RNAcentral's name for it is "lncRNA (ENSPCLG00000019518.1)". Lineage: Eukaryota; Metazoa; Chordata; Aves; Galliformes; Phasianidae. The record is from RNAcentral.
AUUUUAUGGGCUCAAAUAAUAUUUUUCUUUUGUAUUAAAGUAAAGAAUUUGCCUUCCGUUUCAUCCAGGGAAUUGCACUAUCUGAAAACACAGGUUCCCCACACAUUUCCUCAUAGCUAUGUGCUCUCAUUGCUGGGAUAGAGCCAGAGCUGCUUGCACACGUGUGUGUGACACGGGCUGAGGGAUGAUAUCUGUGCUCGGCCCACACGCCAUUUCUUUCUGUGAGCAAUCCUGUUAGAAACAGACCUCCGUGAUCAGUGAAAAACAUAUUGACUUUAAUGCCUCUUGGCACUGAAAAUCAUUUGUUCUGUCCCACCAUGGCAAGUCUAUGCUAGCAGCCCUGGUUAUGAGUAGAGAACAUUUUAUUAUUUAUCAUCUUUAAGCAUGUUCUGCUCCGAAGAAGUGCUGCUUUUAACGAUAGAUAUUUGGUGAUGUGAAUAUAAAAUACAUCACAGUUUCUGGUAUCUUUUUAAUUUUACAGAUGACACAGCUUAAAACCAGGAACAUCAAGUAAAAUAACUACUGCUGAGAGGGAAUAAAAGUUGGCAGUAAGAUGGGUUUCUGCCUGAAACCAGAGGUGUGGUGCAAAUCCUCGGUUGCUGUGACCUGCUUUAGCCCUGCUGGAAAAGAAGCCACAGAUAAAAGAGUGCCCUUAAGACCUUCUAUCUACCCUGUCAAUCAAAUGAAUCAGUGA